RNAcentral lists this ribosomal RNA (245 nucleotides) under uncultured bacterium. RNAcentral describes it as "partial 16S ribosomal RNA". It matches the Rfam family "Bacterial small subunit ribosomal RNA", at positions 524 to 768 of the family's 1533-position model. The record is from RNAcentral.
UACGUAGGAGACAAGCGUUGUCCGGACUUAUUGGGCGUAAAGGGCGCGCAGGCGGCCCGCCGCGUGUCUGGUGAAAGCUCCCAGCUUAACUGGGAGAGGUCCAGGCAGACGGGCGGGCUUGAGCGUCGGAGAGGGGCAUGGAACUCCGGGUGGAGCGGUGAAAUGCGUAGAGAUCCGGAAGAACACCUAUGGCGAAGGCAGUGCCCUGGCCGACCGCUGACGCUCAGGCGCGACAGCUCGGGGAG